AGGGGGGGGGACACUUCCCGUUUGUCCGUGUGCGUGCCGCCGUGUGCACCGCUGGGGACGGGUCCGCCGCUGCAGCCGGCCAGGACAGACAGUGCGCACUUGUCUCCUCAAACGGCGGCAUGGCAUGUUUCCCGGCCCUUCCCUGCCUGUCUUCUUAUUCUAGGAUUCUGGGGCGCCAGGUCUCGCAUGUGUUGGUCUGUGAGUGGAAGCUUCAGUAAUGGUGGAACAGGAGAAAACCAGAAGAGGAGAACCAAGAGUCCCAGGAGACGCUAUCAUGUGAAACCUCAAGGUCCGAAGUGCCUAGAACAGUGUCCUGUAUAUGGGAGACAUUCCAGACACAUUUACUGAAUGAAUAAAUGAAUGAAUGGCUCUCAAGUCAAGCUGGCUGGGUUCACAGUCUGCCCCUGCCAUCUACUAGCAAUGUGAUGCUUCCCAGGCCUUGCCUCCAGCACAACGGAUGCAUUUCAGGGGCAGCAGCUGCACUUGUCUGAGCCCCCUUUGCAGAUGCAGCCCCGGGCACACUUGGCACAGCCCGGGGGGCAGCAAGGACAGCAGCCUGAAAAGGUCACAGGACAGACAGAUGCAAAUUCCUCCUAGAAGAGAAGACAGAGCCACAAGCGUUAAGGACUGAGAUCAAACGAGGACACAAGGUGUGCUGCAGAUCGUCCCUGUGGCAAGGGACCCUCUAGACGUAUGAGCCCCACCCCCUGGAGCAGCCUGGAGCCAUUGGUUCUAUUAUGCUGAUUUAUACACUGACCUCUCUCUCUAGACUGCAUGCUUCUCAAAAACGAAGUCAGUCCGUAUUAAUCUCAGCAUCCCCGUGGCCAGGCACACUGAGCGCUGGCACACAAGAUCCAAAAAUGUGAAGCGUGCGGUGUGCGGAGGCAGUGGAGAACCAGAUGUGCGCAUCCUGCGGGCCAACCACGACAGCAUCCAAAAUGCAGGGGCGCCCGGGUGGCUCAGUCGGUUGGGCGGCCGACUUCGGCUCAGGUCAUGAUCGCGCAGUCCGUAAGUUCGAGCCCCGCAUCAGGCUCUGUGCUGACAGCUCGGAGCCCGGAGCCUGUUUCAGAUUCUGUGUCUCCUUCUCUCUGACCCUCACCCAUUCAUGCUCUGUCUCUCUCUGUCUCAAAAAUAAAUAAAAACGUUAAAAAAAUUUUUUCAAAAUGUGAAAGCCUACGUGCUUCCAGGAAGCACCUCCACUUGUAGGAGAUUAUCCUCUCUAUGUAUUUAUUUGCACAUUGUGCACAAAGAAGUGGGUACAAUUCAUUGUAAUUUUGCUUAUAAAAGAUUGGAAAAGGACUAAACUGUCCAUGACAAUGGGGGUUGGUUCAAAGAAUCAUGACACAGCAGUGCAAUGAAAUUCUAGGCAGCCCUUAAAAAUAUGUCUUCAUAUAGAGGGAUCAUGAAGAUACAUAGUGUUAUCUGAGGAAAGGCAAGGUACAGAAUGGUGUGCACAUCAAGAUACGAGAUGCCACCAUUUGUGGGGAGAAAGCAAGGAGAGGCUACCUAGACAGUCCACGUUCGUGUACGGACAGAAUACAUCUGCAAGGAGACGCAAGAAACAUGUAAUGGUGGUGGUGACCUCUGCGAGGGGUGCUGGGGAGCUGAGGAGGCAGACUUACGCUGGAAUAGGCAUUUAUAGCAUUUGAAUUGCUUUUACCAAAGGGGAGUCUGGCUGGCUCUGCUGGUAGAACAUACAUGGCCUCUUGAUCCCAGGGUUGUAAGUUUGAGCCCCACGUUAGGUGUAGAGAUUACUUCAACAACAAUGAAAAGAACUAGGCUGAAUUACUUUUACCAUAUUACUUUUUCAAAAGGAAAGGAAGGAAGGAGGGAAGGAGGGAGGGAAGGAGGGAA
Acinonyx jubatus (cheetah) is the source of this 1854-nucleotide long non-coding RNA. RefSeq lists it as uncharacterized. The record is from RefSeq and is a predicted model, not a curated record. The transcript has 7 exons. NCBI's taxonomy places the organism in Eukaryota, Metazoa, Chordata, Mammalia, Carnivora, Felidae.